CAAAACCCUUUUUCCUUGCCUCUUGAAGGAUACUUUUAUGUUUGACAGGGAGUCAAGAUCCUGUCAAUACCAGAAGUAAAGGCAUUCUGGCAUAUUUACACUUUGCCAGAGAAGCACAUUCAUUUAAUCUUUAUCAGAAACUGGAGUUGGCUUUCAACAUCAACCUUCCGCAAGAUAUUGCAUGGAUUGGAAACAAGAAGGCAUGCAUAUAGGCAACAAACUUUCAUAGUUGCAUCUUUCCUGUUGAUGUUUACAUUCAGGAUUUCAUUAUUUUAUCAGAUCCUAAAUCUUCUGAAUCAACAUAUAUUAAGGUAUAGUUUCACAAUUUAUUAAUCAAAUAAUUCGUAUAGUUUUUAUGUACCAUAAAUCUAAGAGGCCUACUGUUUUUAAUGUUUUUAUUUAUUUUUGAGGGAGAUUGAGAGCAUGAGUGGGGGAGGUGCAGAGAGAGAGAGAGAGAGAGAGAGAGAGAGGAUCUGAAGCAGGCUUUGUGCUGACAGCAGACAGCCCAAUGUGGGGCUUGAACUCACAAAUGGUAAGAUCAUGACCUGAGCCAAAUUCGACACUUAACCAACUGAGCCAACCAGGCUCCUCCAAGAGGCCCAAUUCAAUAAAUACCCUUGUACCCACA
RNAcentral lists this long non-coding RNA (628 nucleotides) under Felis catus (domestic cat). Its description in RNAcentral is "lncRNA (ENSFCAG00000051407.1)". Lineage: Eukaryota; Metazoa; Chordata; Mammalia; Carnivora; Felidae. The record is from RNAcentral.